GGAUCCUUAGCUCAGCUGGUUAGAGCACUCGGCUCAUAACCGAUUGGUCGUAGGUUCAAGUCCUACAGGAUCCACCA
Molecule: transfer RNA, 77 nt
Filed under: Helicobacter sp.
Lineage: Bacteria; Pseudomonadati; Campylobacterota; Epsilonproteobacteria; Campylobacterales; Helicobacteraceae
Description: tRNA-Ile
Rfam family: tRNA
About the family: Transfer RNA (tRNA) molecules are approximately 80 nucleotides in length.
Source: RNAcentral